CACAGGUGGUCCAGCAGAUGCUCAGAGGGUGAAGCACAUUUAUCAUUGAAUGAACCUACUUAUCUCUGAGGACUUUAUGUCUUUCGGGAGUCACACCUGUCAUGGGGAAGACUGAGAACACCUUUCAAAGAAAACCUAAUUUACUUAAAGAAAAGUGUGUGUGCCCCUUCAACAAUCGUUUUGUGUACCAUUCCAUGGACAGGAUGAUGGAACAGACAAUUUCAAGCCAAGGCACUUUUCUAAGACACCUGUCUGCAGAUAACUGAUCAUGAAAUACAAGUGUCUCCAACGCCCAGGAAGAGGGAUUACGGCUGCAUCCACCGUGAUAGGCUGGGGCAGAGAUGGAUGCUUGCACACCUGUUUUAAAAGAGAUCAACUAAAUUUUGAAGCGGUGACCCUUGAAUGUUUCUAGAAGAUGUCUUCCUCUAAAGUCAUUUGAAAUGCUUCACAGAAGAUAGCAAGAUUUGGAAGAAGAGGCAAAACAUUUCCUGUAAAUACCAUCGCUGGGAUGAAUUCUCACUCUCCUGUCCCUCCAUCAAACAGAAAUCUAUAUUGUGCCUUGAGUUGAGCUCCAGAGAAAUUAUCAAUAUUCACACAUCUGGCACAAAUCUGUUGGAAGAAAAAAAAACCAUCAUGCCAUCUGUAUUUCUUCAAUCGUUUUAUAGCACAGCUCCAGUCUCUGGCCAUCAUUUUGUCACUCGGUCUUGUAAAUAUAAAGUUAUAUUACUUUUUGGCUUGUUUGAGGACACCGUUCAUCAUAAGGGGAGGAUGAAGAGAUGAUGUCACUGCCGGGAAAAAAAAAAACAAAACACAACAACUUCGCCUUUCUCAAUCCCCCACCUUCCCCAGAGUGUGGAGGAGCCAAAUUUCAUCUAGUUUGGCACAGUUGUAGGAAUUAACAUGACUGAAAUGUAUGCCAGAUUUCAAAACAAUUUCUAACAGUUUCUGUGAGACCGUGUAAGCAACUGAAAAUUGACAUGUUGUGUUGUGCCCGAGUCAGCCAACUGCUGUCACUGCAUAAUUAGAUUUUCCUGCAUGAGAGGAAAAAGUGUUCCCUUAAAAAAUUAUGAAAUAAAGCAGAAGCUAAUAUAAAAUACAAGUGGGCCCGUUAUUCACAUAGAGGUAGCCUUCCGCCAAAGAAUGACUUUGGACACACACACACGUGCACGCACACACACUCACACACACACAACUCCAGGAGAGGCUGAUGGCCCUGGAUUUCUGCGCUUUACAUGCAAGAAAUGCUCUUUGCAAAGGGAAGAGGAUUUACGGCACAGGCCAGAUGGAAGUAGGCCCACUUGGCUGCCCAAGGAAUGGCUGAAACCCAGAAGCAAGAACAGAUUUGGAGCUAAUGAAUGUGCGGUUCCUUCCUUCUGAUAUGGAAUAAUAGAUGUGGCAGAGUAUGCCAGGUGCCCCCAAUACUUAUUCUCCCCUUGUCCAACAGUAACAGUAGUUUUUGUUUGGCACAAAGGAGCCCAGCUAAAGGCUAUAUUCCCCAGGCUCCCCUGCACCUCGAUAUAACCAUAUAACUAAGUUCUGGCGAAUGAGGUGUGAGAGGAAGUGGAAGUUUCCAGAUUCCAUGUCGUGUCCUUAACAGGAAAGGAGGGGUUCCCUCCGCUUUCUCCCCUCCCGUCUUCCUGAGGGUGGGAGCGCAGGCAUCUUUGUCCAGGAGGAUGAGAUCUAUACCAUGUGGACAAGAGCUG
This 1703-nucleotide long non-coding RNA is filed under the name Homo sapiens (human). RNAcentral's name for it is "HSALNT0268959". Lineage: Eukaryota; Metazoa; Chordata; Mammalia; Primates; Hominidae. The record is from RNAcentral.